AGGGCACCACCAGGAGUGGAGCCUGCGGCUUAAUUUGACUCAACACGGGAAAACUCACCCGGCCCGGACACCGUAAGGAUUGACAGACUGAGAGCUCUUUCUUAAUUCGGUGGGUGGUGGUGCAUGGCCGUUCUUAGUUGGUGGAGCGAUUUGUCUGGUUAAUUCCGAUAACGAACGAGACUCUGGCCUAUUAAAUAGACGGUAUAUCGAAAAGUAUAUCGCACUUCUUAGAGGGACAAGCGGCGUCUAGCCGCAUGAAAUAGAGCAAUAACAGGUCUGUGAUGCCCUUAGAUGUCCGGGGCUGCACGCGCGCUACACUGAAGGAAUCAGAGUGCGCUUUGCCUAGUUCGGAAGAACUGGGUAACCCAAGUAAAUUCUUUCGUGCUUGGGAUAGGGAAUUGCAAUUAUUUCCCUUAAACGAGGAAUUCCCAGUAAAUGCGGGUCAUAAGCUCGCGUUGAUUACGUCCCUGCCCUUUGUACACACCGCCCGUCGCUACUACCGAUUGGAUGACUUAGUGA
RNAcentral lists this ribosomal RNA (519 nucleotides) under uncultured eukaryote. RNAcentral's name for it is "SSU rRNA". It matches the Rfam family "Eukaryotic small subunit ribosomal RNA", at positions 1161 to 1704 of the family's 1831-position model. The record is from RNAcentral.